UACGGGGGGAGCAAGCGUUGUUCGGAUUUACUGGGCGUAAAGGGCGCGUAGGCGGUCGUGACAAGUCACUUGUGAAAUCUCCGGGCUUAACUCGGAACGGUCAAGUGAUACUGUCGGACUAGAGUACAGAAGGGGCAACUGGAAUUCUCGGUGUAGCGGUGAAAUGCGUAGAUAUCGGAAGGAACACCAGUGGCGAAAGCGGCUUCCUGGUCCAGCACCGACGUUCAGGCACGAAAGCGUGGGGAGCAAACAGG
RNAcentral lists this ribosomal RNA (254 nucleotides) under uncultured bacterium. RNAcentral describes it as "partial 16S ribosomal RNA". It matches the Rfam family "Bacterial small subunit ribosomal RNA", at positions 524 to 776 of the family's 1533-position model. The record is from RNAcentral.